GUGUUUUGUCCGUUCUCCUUGUGACCGCUCACGAACUCACAUGAUGAUCAGUUUGUUGCCCUGGUCUCUCCCCGCCUUCCCCUCCGUGUCCGUUGAAUCAUAACAUCUCUCCUUCCCCUAUCCACUCCUGAUUUCCCAUCUUUUC
Molecule: non-coding RNA, 145 nt
Filed under: Lotharella globosa
Lineage: Eukaryota; Cercozoa; Chlorarachniophyceae
Source: RNAcentral